GACGAACGCUGGCGGCGUGCCUAAUACAUGCCAGUAGAACGCUGAAGGAGGAGCUUGCUUCUCUGGAUGAGUUGCGAACGGGUGAGUAACGCGUAGGUAACCUACCUGGUAGCGGGGGAUAACUAUUGGAAACGAUAGCUAAUACCGCAUAAGAGUAGAUGUCGCAUGACAUUUGCUUAAAAGGUGCAAUUGCAUCACUACCAGAUGGACCUGCGUUGUAUUAGCUAGUUGGUGAGGUAACGGCUCACCAAGGCAACGAUACAUAGCCGACCUGAGAGGGUGAUCGGCCACACUGGGACUGAGACACGGCCCAGACUCCUACGGGAGGCAGCAGUAGGGAAUCUUCGGCAAUGGACGGAAGUCUGACCGAGCAACGCCGCGUGAGUGAAGAAGGUUUUCGGAUCGUAAAGCUCUGUUGUAAGAGAAGAACGAGUGUGAGAGUGGAAAGUUCACACUGUGACGGUAUCUUACCAGAAAGGGACGGCUAACUACGUG
RNAcentral lists this ribosomal RNA (495 nucleotides) under uncultured bacterium. RNAcentral describes it as "partial 16S ribosomal RNA". It matches the Rfam family "Bacterial small subunit ribosomal RNA", at positions 28 to 507 of the family's 1533-position model. The record is from RNAcentral.